UUCUAUUUUACUUAUCAGCUUUACAGACUGUGGCUGUGCGAAGUGAAAUUGAAUUAAGUUGAAGAACAAAUAAAUGUGUAAAAAGCAGUAUUCGAUAUAUAUUCGUUUAUAAAUCGUGCAUAGCUGCGAAUUGUAUAUUUAGAAACAGAAACAAGUAAUUAAAACAACAAAAAGCAAAACACUACCGCUGUCGUAUAUGCACAUACAAUCAUGCAUACAUACGAACAAAUGUAUAUAUACAAAAGUGAUUACUUAUGUACAGAUAUACGUCUACUCCGAGCGUAAUUGCAGAGAGCAAAAAUAUGGAGAAUUUCCGAGCGCACAGCGAACGCAAAAGCACAAACACACACACACACACACACACACAUUUUUAUUGCAAAACAAACUGGGUGAAAGAGAGUAGAUAAAGAGUGGGUGGCGUACCGACUUAACGUCAAACCGAUAUAUCAACAAAAUAACAGAAUGACAAAAGGCAUAUGCACACAUGUAUAUACAUAAGUAUAUAAGCAAGUAUGAGUGUGUGCGUGUGUACCAUAUAUAAACAAGUGGGAUAGAUGGGAUUAUCAGCGUAUUUGUGGGGGGUUAAUAUUUCAGUUCAGAGAUGCACUCACUCUUCUAGCUAGGGUAUCUAAGUUAUUUGCAAAAUGAAAACAAAAUACACAACAACAGACGAAAAUAGAAACAAAAACAAAAUACGAAAAAACGCUAAGGAAAGAAGAACGCUUCAUCAAAUCACAUUUGAGUACGUUUAUACAUAUGUACAGCAAUAAGAUUACACCUGCAUACAUUUGGUACAUACCUAAGUAGUUACAGUGUGUUUCAUGGAUUAUACACUUUAAUUGGAUGAGACUGUUAGUAUUAUUAUUACAAAUUUUGGUACUAUCGGAGUGUUUUAAAUAAUUAUGCCAUAAAAUGCUGCAAUAUUUAUAAGCAGCGCAGUACAAAAGCGUUUUUUUUUUCAAUACAUUGUUAAUGGCCGAACACAACUUGUUGCUUAGGGCAUUAUGUUGUUGUCAUUUCAGUAGCGUAGCAAUAGUUUUUUUCAUUACCAAUUUGACUGAGCCAACAAGAGUGCUGCAAAACGCGCUGCUCAAUUGUUUUCUUUAUUCUUUUGAAACUGCUCUUGGGGAACGACAUA
Molecule: long non-coding RNA, 1138 nt
Organism: Zeugodacus cucurbitae (melon fly)
Lineage: Eukaryota; Metazoa; Arthropoda; Insecta; Diptera; Tephritidae
Exons: 3
Source: RefSeq, a predicted model, not a curated record